Molecule: ribosomal RNA, 548 nt
Filed under: uncultured Glomeromycotina
Lineage: Eukaryota; Fungi; Glomeromycota
Description: SSU rRNA
Rfam family: Eukaryotic small subunit ribosomal RNA
Source: RNAcentral
UUGGAGGGCAAGUCUGGUGCCAGCAGCCGCGGUAAUUCCAGCUCCAAUAGCGUAUAUUAAAGUUGUUGCAGUUAAAAAGCUCGUAGUUGAAUUUCGGGAUCAAUUUAUUGAUCGUGCCAACGGUACGCACUGGUACAAUUGGUUUCCCCCUUCUGACGAAGCAUGAUGUCAUUAAUUUGAUGUCGUGGGGAAUCAGGACUGUUACUUUGAAAAAAUUAGAGUGUUUAAAGCAGGCUUUGGCUUGAAUACAUUAGCAUGGAAUAAUGAAAUAGGACGUUUGAUCUUAUUUCGUUGGUUUCUAAGAUCGACGUAAUGAUUAAUAGGGAUAGUUGGGGGCAUUAGUAUUCAAUUGUCAGAGGUGAAAUUCUUGGAUUUAUUGAAGACUAACUACUGCGAAAGCAUUUGCCAAGGAUGUUUUCAUUAAUCAAGAACGAAAGUUAGGGGAUCGAAGACGAUCAGAUACCGUCGUAGUCUUAACCAUAAACUAUGCCGACUAGGGAUCGGAUGAUGUUAAUUUUUUAAUGACUCAUUCGGCGCCUUACGGGAAA